UUCGAUUCCUACGGGAGGCAGCAGUGGGGAAUUUUCCGCAAUGGGCGAAAGCCUGACGGAGCAAUACCGCGUGAGGGAGGAAGGCUCUUGGGUCGUAAACCUCUUUUCUGUGGGAAGAAUAAAUGACGGUACCACAGGAAUCAGCAUCGGCUAACUCCGUGCCAGCAGCCGCGGUAAUACGGAGGAUGCAAGCGUUAUCCGGAAUCAUUGGGCGUAAAGCGUCCGUAGGUGGCUAUUCAAGUCUGCCGUCAAAGACUGGGGCUUAACCCCGGAAAGGCGGUGGAAACUGAAUAACUAGAGUGCGGUAGGGGUAGAGGGAAUUCCCAGUGUAGCGGUGAAAUGCGUAGAGAUUGGGAAGAACACCGGUGGCGAAAGCGCUCUACUGGGCCUGCACUGACACUGAGGGACGAAAGCUAGGGGAGCGAAAGGGAUUAGAUACCCCUGUAGUCCUAGCCGUAAACGAUGGAUACUAGGUGUUGGCAGUAUCGACCCUGCCAGUACCGGAGCUAACGCGUUAAGUAUCCCGCCUGGGGAGUACGCACGCAAGUGUGAAACUCAAAGGAAUUGACGG
Molecule: ribosomal RNA, 571 nt
Filed under: uncultured bacterium
Lineage: Bacteria
Description: bacterial SSU rRNA
Rfam family: Bacterial small subunit ribosomal RNA
Source: RNAcentral